RNAcentral lists this small RNA (116 nucleotides) under Marmota monax (woodchuck). Lineage: Eukaryota; Metazoa; Chordata; Mammalia; Rodentia; Sciuridae. The record is from RNAcentral.
GCUGGGCACAGUGGCAUAUUCUUGUAUUCCCAGCUACUCUGGAGGCUGAGGCAGGAGGGUUGCUGGAGCCCAGGAAUUUGAGGCCGGUCUGGGCAACAUGGAAGACUCCAUCUCAA